Molecule: transfer RNA, 77 nt
Filed under: Erythrobacter sp.
Lineage: Bacteria; Pseudomonadati; Pseudomonadota; Alphaproteobacteria; Sphingomonadales; Erythrobacteraceae
Also listed under: 62 other names
Description: tRNA-Met
Rfam family: tRNA
About the family: Transfer RNA (tRNA) molecules are approximately 80 nucleotides in length. Their secondary structure includes four short double-helical elements and three loops (D, anti-codon, and T loops).
Source: RNAcentral
GGCGGAGUAGCUCAGUCGGUUAGAGCAGCGGAAUCAUAAUCCGCGUGUCGGGGGUUCGAGUCCCUCCUCCGCUACCA